Molecule: non-coding RNA, 705 nt
Organism: Pelobates cultripes (western spadefoot toad)
Lineage: Eukaryota; Metazoa; Chordata; Amphibia; Anura; Pelobatidae
Source: the annotation of a GenBank genome assembly
AGUCAAUUCAAGGUACUAACCCAUACCUAUAAAGCACUGACCAAUUCUAGCCCUUCCUAUAUCUUUUCACUGAUCCGCAGGUAUGCCCCUUCUCAAGUUCUCCGCUCUGCCCAUGACCUUCUCCUGUCCGCUGCUCGCACCCGUACAGCCAACUCACGCUUGCAGAACUUCUUGCGGACGGCUCCUUUCCUUUGGAAUAGCCUGCCUACGACCAUCAAGCUCUUCCCCAGUCUUCAAUAAUUUAAAAAGUUCCUCAAAACCCCUCUCUUUAGGAAAGCUUUUGGCCUCCCAGACUAACCUCUACCUUACAUACCUGUCCCUUGCUCUCUCCUAAAGGGCAGCACUCUAUUCUCUCCUCCCGCUCUGCUUCACUCCACCUUGUUUGAUUGCUACCUCCUGUCCUGUUUUGUUUUACACCCCACCUCCUAUAGACUGUAAGCUCGUUUGAGCAGGGCCCUCUUCAACCUAUCGUUCCUGUAAGUUUUUCUAACUGUCUCAUUUAAUGUUAAAUCUCCCCCUUUGAUAACAUUGUAAAGCGCUACAGACUAUGCUGGCGCUAUAUAAAUACCAUUAAUAAUAAUAAUAUUACUGCUAUAUGCUUCUAAUGGCCACCAUAUUUUAUUCCAGACUCUUUAUUACUGUUAAGCGACAUUAGUUUUAUGUAGGCCAAUGAACUAAAUACUGCUGCAGAUCUUAUUCAUUUAA